AACCUAGCACACCUGCGGUGUGUACCUGCGGAGGGAUCAUUACACAAUAAACAUAUGAAGGCUGCACCGCCAACAGGCGGCAAGGCUGGAGUAUUUUAUUACCCUUGUCUUUUGCGCACUUGUUGUUUCCUGGGCGGGUUCGCCCGCCUCCAGGACCACAUGAUAAACCUUUUUUAUGCAGUUGCAAUCAGCGUCAGUACAACAAAUGUAAAUCAUUUACAACUUUCAACAACGGAUCUC
This 240-nucleotide unclassified non-coding RNA is filed under the name soil metagenome. Its description in RNAcentral is "partial contains 5.8S ribosomal RNA, internal transcribed spacer 2, and large subunit ribosomal RNA". The record is from RNAcentral.